This 253-nucleotide ribosomal RNA is filed under the name uncultured bacterium. RNAcentral's name for it is "partial 16S ribosomal RNA". It matches the Rfam family "Bacterial small subunit ribosomal RNA", at positions 524 to 776 of the family's 1533-position model. The record is from RNAcentral.
UACGUAGGGUGCAAGCGUUGUCCGGAAUUAUUGGGCGUAAAGAGCUCGUAGGUGGCGUGUCGCGUCUGCCGUGAAAGCCCAUGGCUUAACUGUGGGUCUGCGGUGGAUACGGGCAGGCUGGAGGCUGGUAGGGGCAAGCGGAAUUCCUGGUGUAGCGGUGAAAUGCGCAGAUAUCAGGAGGAACACCGGUGGCGAAGGCGGCUUGCUGGGCCAGUUCUGACGCUGAGGAGCGAAAGCGUGGGGAGCAAACAGG